Molecule: unclassified non-coding RNA, 243 nt
Filed under: uncultured fungus
Lineage: Eukaryota; Fungi
Description: partial contains 18S rRNA, ITS1, 5.8S rRNA
Source: RNAcentral
GCGGAGGGAUCAUUACACAAUAUGAAAGCGGGCUGGACUCCCCCCAGCAGUGCGUUGCUUUGCGGCGUGCGCUGUUGGGGCCAGCCUUGCUGAAUUAUUCACCCGUGUCUUUUGCGUACCUCUUGUUUCCUUGGUGGGUUCGCCCACCACAAGGACAAACCAUAAACCUUUUGUAAUUGCAAUCAGCGUCAGUAACAAUAAUAAUAAUUACAACUUUCAACAACGGAUCUCUUGGUUCUGGCA